Molecule: long non-coding RNA, 871 nt
Organism: Asparagus officinalis (garden asparagus)
Lineage: Eukaryota; Viridiplantae; Streptophyta; Magnoliopsida; Asparagales; Asparagaceae
Exons: 2
Source: RefSeq, a predicted model, not a curated record
GCUCCCAUUUCGUGCGCUGCAGGGUCUUAUCUGAAAAAAACCCGCACAUUUACCUCCCCUCCCCUCGUGAUCUUCUCUCUCUCUUCUCCACAAAACUCUCUCGCGUUCCCCAGAGAUCCCCAAAUCGAUCUCAUCUCCCCCGUCCUCCUCCCAAAUCGCAACCAUCAUCGAUUUCUCAUUCGCCGCUAGACUACGAUCUCCGCGAGAUCAGAUCGGCCAAGCCCUCUUCGAUUUCACCGCGCGUGACCAAGGUCUCCGCCGCGAGAUCCCUCCGACCGCCUCCGCCGCGAGAUCCUCCGACCCGCCGCCCGAUUCGAAGUCAGAGGAAAAAAGGCAGUAGCGGCUAAGGAGGAGGAGGAGCUCGAAUCUACUGCUGAAAGAGGAGUAGUAGCUCGAAUCAGGGUUUUUAGGGGAGAGGAUGAGGCGGCGAGAGCUCCGACGACGACGAUGAGAGGAGGGCGGCGCUGGUUUUGGCGAGAGAGAGGGCAGGUAAUAAAUCAAGGUCUCGAUUUAUUAGUAAUUAAGAAAAAAUCAAGAAAAAUAGACAUAAAAAGGAGAUCACCAAACUGCAUGUUUCUUGUAACUUAUUUUUCUUUAAUUUCUUUUUAAUUUCGCUACUUCGAUCACUAAUAUUGUUUCACCGUGAGUUACUUGAAUCCUUACCAAAUUAAGCUUUCUUUAAUAAUUAUACUAUGAAAGUUAGAUUUCAAGAUCCGUGCAUGCUUAAUCUACUUGAAUCAUCAGCACCCUUUUCUUCGUUAAUUUUCUGCCAUUUCAGUGAAUUUAACUACAAAUUAAGAGAAGCGCUUAUAAGUAUACAUAAUUUCCCUUGAAAGAAAAAAUAUAAAGAGAAGCGCUAUAUAUGACAAAA